AUGGACUGGGAUCUCAAGAUGCCGCCCGGCGCAUGGGACCUCGCCGAGCUGGAGGGCGACGCGCCGGCGGCGGGCGGGCAGGCGUCGGCCGGUGGCAUUGCUAAUGCGGCCGGCCGGCAGGAGUGCUCCGUGGACCUGAAGCUCGGCGGGCUCGGCGAGUGCGGCGCUGCUCCGGACAGCCGCGGCCUCGGCAAGGCGCCGGCCGAGGCGCCGUCCUCGGCGCCCAGCGCGGCGAAGCGGCCGCGCGCGUCGUCGGGAGGGGGAGGCGGGAGCGGGAGCGGCGCGGGGCAGCAGCAGUGCCCGUCGUGCGCGGUGGACGGGUGCAGGGCGGACCUGAGCAGGUGCCGCGACUACCAUCGCCGGCACAAGGUGUGCGAGGCGCACUCCAAGACCCCCGUCGUCACCGUCGCCGGCCGCGAGAUGCGCUUCUGCCAACAGUGCAGCAGGUUUCACCUGCUUACGGAGUUUGAUGAGACCAAACGCAGCUGUAGAAAGCGUCUUGAUGGGCACAACCGUCGCCGCAGGAAACCGCAGCCAGAUGUGAUGAAUUCUGCAAGUUUUAUGACGAGCCAACAAGGAACAAGGUUUUCAUCAUUUCCAACUCCAAGACCGGAGCAAAACUGGCAAGGGAUCAUUAAAACCGAGGAGAACCCCUAUUACGCACAUCAACUCCCUCUGGGCAUCAGCAGCAGGCAGCAUUUUGGUGGAUCUGCGUCGACUUACGCCAAAGAAGGACGGCGGUUUCCUUUCCUGCAGGAAGGCGAGAUAAACUUUGCCACCGGUGUGGCACUUGAGCCUUCAGUGUGCCAGCCGCUCCUCAAGACGGUAGCUCCUCCCGAGAGCAGCAGCAGCAGCAGCAAGAUGUUCUCUGAUGGGCUGACUCCGGUGCUCGACUCGGACUGUGCUCUCUCUCUUCUGUCAGCUCCGGCAAACUCCUCCGGUAUCGAUGUUGGCCAGAUGGUCCAGCAGACUGAACACAUCCCCAUUGCCCAGCCUCUGUUCUCCAACCUGCAGUUCAGCAGCUCGUCCUGGUUCUCGCGCACCCAGGCUUCCACCGGCACCGUCUCAGCGACCGGAUUUUCCUGCCCCGCGGUGGAGAAUGAGCAACUGAACAAUGUGCUAAGCUCGGACAACAAUGACUUGAACUACAAUGGGAUAUUUCAUGUCGGCGGUGAAGGCUCGUCGGACGGCGCCCCGCCAUCUCUGCCCUUCCCGUGGCAGUAG
This 1224-nucleotide ribosomal RNA is filed under the name Triticum aestivum (bread wheat). RNAcentral's name for it is "partial small subunit ribosomal RNA". Lineage: Eukaryota; Viridiplantae; Streptophyta; Magnoliopsida; Poales; Poaceae. The record is from RNAcentral.